Small nuclear RNA from Pygocentrus nattereri (red-bellied piranha), 189 nucleotides. RefSeq annotates it as U2 spliceosomal RNA. The record is from RefSeq and is a predicted model, not a curated record. NCBI's taxonomy places the organism in Eukaryota, Metazoa, Chordata, Actinopteri, Characiformes, Serrasalmidae. The transcript has a single exon.
AUUACUUCAUAGUAUGCUUUUUUGAGUAGUGUAGUAUCUGUUCUUAUCAGUUUAAUAUCUAUCUCUAUAUGAGGACUACGUAUUGAAUUGAUUUUAAGAACAGGGAGACGGAAGAGGUUCUUGCUCUGUCCGCUCCACGCAUCGACCUGGUAUUGUAGUACCUCCAGAAAAGUUCUGGGGGCAGUCGUG